This 841-nucleotide ribosomal RNA is filed under the name uncultured Bacteroidota bacterium. Its description in RNAcentral is "bacterial SSU rRNA". It matches the Rfam family "Bacterial small subunit ribosomal RNA", at positions 1 to 835 of the family's 1533-position model. The record is from RNAcentral. Lineage: Bacteria; Pseudomonadati; Bacteroidota.
GCCCUUAGAGUUUGAUCAUGGCUCAGGAUGAACGCUAGCGGCAGGCCUAAUACAUGCAAGUCGGACGGUAAUUCGGGUGUUUCGGCAUCUGAAACGAGUGGCGCACGGGUGCGUAACACGUAUGCAACCUACCCUGAACAGGAACAUAACCUUGCGAAAGCGGGGCUAAUAUUCCAUAGUAUACCGAGAGGGCAUCUUUUUGGUAUUAAAGUCUUCGGGCGGUUCAGGAUGGGCAUGCGCCCCAUUAGCUAGUUGGUGAGGUAACGGCUCACCAAGGCUGUGAUGGGUAGGGGUUCUGAGAGGAUUAUCCCCCACACUGGUACUGAGACACGGACCAGACUCCUACGGGAGGCAGCAGUAAGGAAUAUUGGGCAAUGGGCGAGAGCCUGACCCAGCCAUGCCGCGUGCAGGAUGACGGCCCUAUGGGUUGUAAACUGCUUUUCUAUGGGAAUAAACUCAUGUACUUGUACGUGAUUGCAGGUACCAUAGGAAUAAGCAUCGGCUAACUCCGUGCCAGCAGCCGCGGUAAUACGGAGGAUGCGAGCGUUAUCCGGAUUUAUUGGGUUUAAAGGGUGCGUAGGCGGACAUUUAAGUCAGAGGUGAAAUCCCCGGGCUCAACCUGGGAUCUGCCUAUGAAACUAGAUGUCUUGAGUGCAACCGAGGUGGGCGGAAUGUGGAGUGUAGCGGUGAAAUGCAUAGAUAUUCCACAGAACACCGAUAGCGAAGGCAGCUCACCAGAUUGUAACUGACGCUGAUGCACGAAAGCGUGGGGAGCAAACAGGAUUAGAUACCCUGGUAGUCCACGCCGUAAACGAUGAUCACUAGUUGUUGGCGAUACACA